UUGAGUGAAUCGCGAUUCGCUCGAAGGGGCAGUGGAAAGGCGUUUCCAUUCAGCCACAUUAAUUUUUUCUCCAAAAUCUCCCCGAUUGAGAGAGAUGAAGCCCUGGCCCCCGUUACUUGCUCGACCAAACAGCAUCGAGCUCCACAGGCCGCUACUCUCCUUCUUGCGACCUUUUUCUUCCUUCCUCCAAAUCUCUGCGUCUCCUUUUCCUUUGAAUCUCCUCCGCGGAUUCAGAUUUCCGACCGCGAUGAGGACUUCUCCGAUCUCGAACUUUUGCAGUUCUUCCGCCUCCAAGGUUUCAACAAGUCCAGCAAUCGGAUUAUUCGAAUCGUCAGAAAAUACUUUCCCGCCAGUUUGUAAUUCAAGUUACUAGAGAGCAGUGCAAGAGAAAAUUGGCCCAACAAAGGCAUAAACUUGGAGUUACAGAACAGUGAGGAAUUUUGCUUCUAUAUGGUGGAUUUAGGAAGACCUUCCUCUGAUUUCAAGGACAGGCUUCAAGUUGCAUACUUCAUCCACCCAGGGCUCCGCUCGAGGCUUGUAUUUGCCACUCUCGAUUCUUCUUAAGUGGAGGUAUGUAUUGGAAGAUCAAGUAUGUAAGCCGCUUGCAGUAUCUUUGGGAUGAUAUAAAGAAGGAUGAUAUCGAGAUUCCUGAUUUUGUGAAAUCUCAUGAUGGUAUUCUUGAGCACAGACCACUAACGGAUUACGGUAUCGAACCAGACUCUUUCCACUUGUUCGAUGCUCCAUCGACAGCUUACUCAUUUGGGACAGAUGGGGCAUCAAGGGAAGACAUUUCCCAUUGUUAGGAUUAUGCUUCAUUUUGUUAAAUUGUAUUAAUUAGGAAUUUGCUUGACUUGGCAGAUGAUAAAUGCUAUAUAUAAGUGAAUCUACUAAUUUUGGUGUA
This is an RNA transcript of Morus notabilis, 901 nucleotides long. RefSeq lists it as uncharacterized. Lineage: Eukaryota; Viridiplantae; Streptophyta; Magnoliopsida; Rosales; Moraceae. The record is from RefSeq and is a predicted model, not a curated record. The transcript is spliced from 4 exons.